Molecule: ribosomal RNA, 433 nt
Filed under: uncultured bacterium
Lineage: Bacteria
Description: partial 16S ribosomal RNA
Rfam family: Bacterial small subunit ribosomal RNA
Source: RNAcentral
AACGAACGCUGGCGGCAGGCCUAACACAUGCAAGUCGAGCGAGGACUUCGGUCCUAGCGGCGGACGGGUGAGUAACGCGUGGGAACUUGCCCUUUGCUUCGGAAUAGCCCUGGGAAACUGGGAGUAAUACCGGAUGAGCCCUUUGGGGGAAAGAUUUAUCGGCGAAGGAUCGGCCCGCGUUGGAUUAGGUAGUUGGUGGGGUAAUGGCCUACCAAGCCGACGAUCCAUAGCUGGUUUGAGAGGAUGAUCAGCCACACUGGGACUGAGACACGGCCCAGACUCCUACGGGAGGCAGCAGUGGGGAAUCUUAGACAAUGGGGGAAACCCUGAUCUAGCCAUGCCGCGUGAGCGAUGAAGGCCUUAGGGUUGUAAAGCUCUUUCAGCUGGGAAGAUAAUGACGGUACCAGCAGAAGAAGCCCCGGCUAACUCCGUG